RNAcentral lists this long non-coding RNA (1136 nucleotides) under Astyanax mexicanus (Mexican tetra). Its description in RNAcentral is "lncRNA (ENSAMXG00005010506.1)". Lineage: Eukaryota; Metazoa; Chordata; Actinopteri; Characiformes; Acestrorhamphidae. The record is from RNAcentral.
CCUCCACCAGUCUUACACACUGCUUUUGGAUAACUUUAUGCUGCUUCACUCCUGGUGCAAAAAUUCAAGCUUGGUUUGAUGGCUUUUUCCCCUUGAUUAUAUUCCAGAGGUUUUUUUAUUUGUAAAAAUGUAUUUAUUUAUUUGUUUAUAUUCAGAAACAGCUGUUUGUCUGUGUAACACGUGACCUGCUCCACCCCUGUGUUUAUAGUCCCCCACGUGGUCCUCGCGUGCCUGAGGAGCAGAAGUCACGUGACCUCCGCACCCAUAACUUUCCCAACAUGAGGAGAAAAAGGGGAAGAACUACAUAAACUACCUCAAACUCCCUCAGACUGCGACUUUCUCUCUGUUUCUGGCCUUCACAGCCCUCAGGGUGAGGCGAGUUUGCUGUAAUCUUCCACAGACGAGAUCUCGGCUACUGUAGGUCAGGUUACGCAUGUUCCGGAGUGAAAAGGCACCUGUGGUCCCACCUGGACCCACAGAACAGGAAGUGAAUAAACACAUCCAGUCCACCGUACCCAAAGAGACGAAAGUAGAGAACAAGGAAAAUGCUGGUGGAGCUGGUGUCAACCCCCACAACAAGAGCUCUGGGAUGAUGGGUGCACUGGAAAAGAUGAAUCCGUUCAAGUCUUCCCCACAGAGCUCGUUAUCAGAGAGUAAAUCUCCUCCAACUGGGGAAAGUGAUGGGGGCGGAGUUAAAGAACCGAGUCAGAACACCGGGAUGGUAAGCGGAUUUAUUCAGAUGGUCAACCCGUUUAAGUCGUCUUCACAGGUUUCAAAAUCCAGCAGUCAGUCUUCCCUCACUGGAAAGAGUGGAGAGAAUAAAACCUCAGAACCUGCACAGAACCCUGGACUGGUUCUGGGACUGAUUCAGAAAGUGAACCCAUUCAGGACUUCACAGAACCCAAACAAUGGCCUUCCCUCCCAGAACACAGACAGAACCCAGCAGAGUGCUGACGUAGCUGAAGGUGUGAAGCAGGCCGUCAGUAUGAAUAAAGACACGCUUCAGGAAUCUGAUUUAAAGUCCGUAUUUCCUUCAGUUCAGAACGAUGAGGAUCCAGCAGCAGAUCAGGUCUGUAUUACAUGGUUUGCUAUUUUGUGUUGAGUUAUUUUGUAUAAACUUUAAAAUUAAAGGAGCA